AAGACUUAUGGAUAACUUCAAGCAUAAAUCUGUUAUCCAGAACUAAGAUUAAAUAAUUGGAAUCUAAUGGAACUACAGUGUGACAGGCUUUUGUUCCAGAAAAGAUGGAGUAAGCGCAUCCCAUUCUACGCCUCCUGCUAACAACAAUGACAAAUAACAAAAUAUAUAAGUCAUUCACCAGAAGACUUGAAAAGUGGCAAAAAGAAAGGAGAAGCAGCUAGAAAACUUGGGACUGAGGAGUGACCUGGCAGAGUUCGACCGCUUGCUAUGAUGUGCGCUGACCACCAGGGGGCGGCGAAGAAGGAAGGAAGGAAGGCCACGGCUGGCAGCCGGCAGCCAGGGGAAGAAAGGCCCAGAUCGGCCCUGAUCGCCGACCAGGCCUAGGGACCCUACCCGUGCACAAAUUUCAUGCACCGGGCCUCUAGUUAUAACAA
Eptesicus fuscus (big brown bat) is the source of this 434-nucleotide long non-coding RNA. RefSeq lists it as uncharacterized. The transcript has 3 exons. NCBI's taxonomy places the organism in Eukaryota, Metazoa, Chordata, Mammalia, Chiroptera, Vespertilionidae. The record is from RefSeq and is a predicted model, not a curated record.